Molecule: ribosomal RNA, 240 nt
Filed under: Xanthomonas citri pv. citri
Lineage: Bacteria; Pseudomonadati; Pseudomonadota; Gammaproteobacteria; Lysobacterales; Lysobacteraceae
Description: partial 16S ribosomal RNA
Rfam family: Bacterial small subunit ribosomal RNA
Source: RNAcentral
UGAGAUGGACCCGCGCUGGAUUAGCUAGUUGGUAAGGUAAUGGCUUACCAAGGCGACGAUCCAUAGCCGACCUGAGAGGGUGAUCGGCCACAUUGGGACUGAGACACGGCCCAAACUCCUACGGGAGGCAGCAGUAGGGAAUCUUCGGCAAUGGACGAAAGUCUGACCGAGCAACGCCGCGUGAGCGAAGAAGGCCUUCGGGUCGUAAAGCUCUGUUGUUAGAGAAGAACAUGGGUGAGA